Molecule: ribosomal RNA, 253 nt
Filed under: uncultured bacterium
Lineage: Bacteria
Description: partial 16S ribosomal RNA
Rfam family: Bacterial small subunit ribosomal RNA
Source: RNAcentral
UACAGAGGUCUCAAGCGUUGUUCGGAUUCAUUGGGCGUAAAGGGUGUGUAGGUGGCGCCGUAAGUCGGGUGUGAAAUUUCGGAGCUUAACUCCGAAACUGCAUUCGAUACUGCGGUGCUUGAGGACUGGAGAGGAGACUGGAAUUCAUGGUGUAGCAGUGAAAUGCGUAGAGAUCAUGAGGAAGACCAGUGGCGAAGGCGGCCUGCUGGGCAGUAGCUGACGCUGAGGCGCGACAGCGUGGGGAGCAAACAGG